GACGAACGCUGGCGGCGUGCUUAACACAUGCAAGUCGAACGGAAAGGCCUGCUUUCCCUUGUGUAUUGCGGGUACUCGAGUGGCUAACGGGUGAGUAAUACGUGAGUGAUCUGCCCCCAACUCCGGUAUAAGCCUGGGAAACUUGGUCUAAUUCCCGUUCGGACUGCAGGGUGUUGCCUGUGGUGGAAAACGAUUUUUUAGUUGUUGGGGAUGAGCUCACGGCCUAUCAGCUUGUUGGUGGGGUAAUGGCCUACCAAGGCGGCGACGGGUAGCCGGCCUGGGGGAGUGGGCGGUGACAUUGGGACAGAGAGGCAGCCCAGAGUACUACGGGAGGAAGGAGUGGGGAAAAUUGAGGAAGGGGCGGGAGCCUGGGGCAGCGGCGCAGAGGGGGGGAUGACGGCCUUCGGGUUGUGAACUCCUGUCGGCAGCGGGGAAGGCACCUGGUUGGGAGGGUGGUGAGGGUAGUGGUAGAAGAAGCGCCGGCUAACUACGUG
This 494-nucleotide ribosomal RNA is filed under the name uncultured bacterium. Its description in RNAcentral is "partial 16S ribosomal RNA". It matches the Rfam family "Bacterial small subunit ribosomal RNA", at positions 28 to 507 of the family's 1533-position model. The record is from RNAcentral.